Molecule: non-coding RNA, 48 nt
Organism: Schistosoma curassoni
Lineage: Eukaryota; Metazoa; Platyhelminthes; Trematoda; Strigeidida; Schistosomatidae
Source: Rfam
AUUCAGCUCACGAAUCCCAAAUAGGACGAAACGCAUGUCAAACUAAAU